GACUUGUAAAGGGGCGGGGGGGGUGGUGUCAGUGGCCAAAAGCCUGAAGGCCCACCCAGAUCCUUCCCCUUUUAGUUUGAUUUUGUGAAAUCACCUCACCUCUCUGGGCCUCAGUUUCUCAUCUGUAAAAUGGUCGACCUUCUGUUGACCUGGAAUGAUGUUCUCUCUCUAGUGUUUAUUCCUUCCUUCGUUCAUUAAAAACCCUGAGGGGGUCCUGCUGCUGCUCUGCGGUGGAAACGAAAAUGAAGAAGAUUCCACGAAAAUGAAAAAGACGGUGCCUGCCUUCGAAGUGCUCAGCAGCCUGAAGGCUCAAUGGAGGUCUGCAAAGGAAGGAACACCUGACAGCCUUGGAAGGUCAGCAUGUCCAGCUGGAAGUUUUUUAUUGAAAAUCUCAGCUGAACGGAGGAACAUAGCUUCAACUGCAGACCCUUUCAGCAAAGCAAUCUGAUCUUCGUGGUCCAAAGUCUGAAAUCCUGGAUGAAGAUGAUAAUCAAAUCAAUAUCAAAAAAUUGUGAAUGCCAUAUAGCAAUAUUUCAUCAUCGCUAUCAUCCCCAUUGAUAAAGCAUUUCCAUAAAGUGAUUUUAUAAUUGUUUUAAAAUUGGGUAGUCAGGCUGGGUCAUUAUCUAUUGUUCUCUCCCAAACAGAAGCUGACUUUUAUUUUUAAUGAGUAGGAUUUGUCGAACAAGUUGGUUAAAAAAGAAUGGCAGAUCCACACCAAAAAUACAUAUCAUGGCAGAACAGGCUGAUGCAGAUGAAGCAACCCUCAGAAAUUAGAAGAAAUCAGAUUCUCUUUGAGCCAUUAUAUUAGUCACAUCUGAUGUCACAGGGUCAACUCUAUAGAAUGGAAGCAUCCACAAACAAGAAUAAAAAUCUUUACAUGUAUCCAGACAUUA
This is a long non-coding RNA of Canis lupus familiaris (dog), 893 nucleotides long. RefSeq lists it as uncharacterized. The record is from RefSeq and is a predicted model, not a curated record. Lineage: Eukaryota; Metazoa; Chordata; Mammalia; Carnivora; Canidae. The transcript has 2 exons.